Molecule: ribosomal RNA, 750 nt
Filed under: uncultured Actinomyces sp.
Lineage: Bacteria; Bacillati; Actinomycetota; Actinomycetes; Actinomycetales; Actinomycetaceae
Description: bacterial SSU rRNA
Rfam family: Bacterial small subunit ribosomal RNA
Source: RNAcentral
GACGAACGCGGCGGCGUGCUUAACACAUGCAAGUCGAACGCUGAUGGCCCAGCUUGCUGGGUGGAUGAGUGGCGAACGGGUGAGUAACACGUGAGUAACCUGCCCCCUUCUUUGGGAUAACGGUCGGAAACGGCUGCUAAUACCGGGUAUUCACUGUCCUUCGCAUGGGGGGUGGUGGAAAGGUUUUUUCUGGUGGGGGAUGGGCUCGCGGCCUAUCAGCUUGUUGGUGGGGUGAUGGCUUACCAAGGCUUUGACGGGUAACCGGCCUGAGAGGGUGACCGGUCACAUUGGGACUGAGAUACGGCCCAGACUCCUACGGGAGGCAGCAGUGGGGAAUAUUGCACAAUGGGCGAAAGCCUGAUGCAGCGACGCCGCGUGAGGGAUGGAGGCCUUCGGGUUGUAAACCUCUUUCGCUCAUGGUCAAGCCGCAACUUGGGUUGUGGUGAGGGUAGUGGGUAAAGAAGCACCGGCUAACUACGUGCCAGCAGCCGCGGUAAUACGUAGGGUGCGAGCGUUGUCCGGAAUUAUUGGGCGUAAAGGGCUUGUAGGCGGUUUGUCGCGUCUGCCGUGAAAUCCUCUGGCUUAACUGGGGGCGUGCGGUGGGUACGGGCAGGCUUGAGUGCGGUAGGGGAGACUGGAACUCCUGGUGUAGCGGUGGAAUGCGCAGAUAUCAGGAAGAACACCGGUGGCGAAGGCGGGUCUCUGGGCCGUUACUGACGCUGAGGAGCGAAAGCGUGGGGAGCGAACAGG